Molecule: small RNA, 619 nt
Filed under: Pan troglodytes (chimpanzee)
Lineage: Eukaryota; Metazoa; Chordata; Mammalia; Primates; Hominidae
Description: retained intron
Source: RNAcentral
GUGCGGCGCUGGGCGGAAGCUACCAUGGCGGCCGAGCGAAAGACAAAGUUGUCCAAGAAUCUGCUGCGCAUGAAGUUUAUGCAAAGGGGACUGGACUCAGAAACCAAGAAACAACUAGAAGAAGAAGAAAAGAAAAUCAUUAGUGAAGAGCACUGGUACUUGGAUUUGCCAGAGCUUAAAGAGAAAGAGAGUUUCAUAAUAGAAGAGCAGAGUUUCUUACUAUGUGAAGAUCUUCUCUAUGGAAGAAUGUCAUUCAGAGGAUUUAAUCCUGAGGUUGAGGUAUUAAAUAUAAUUGCUUCAAAUUAAAAAUUUUUCCAAUUGAAUUUUUUUCUGCUAAUAAUUGGGCUUAGGUGUUUCUCCACCAGGUACCGUUUCUACUCAUUAUAUAGAAAAUAACAAAUCUUGAAAUAUCGCCAUAGCUAUUUAAAGAAAUUGGAGGCAUUGCAGUCUAGUUUUAUGGUAGAGGUGAGUAGAUAAUUUCGUAUAGCAGUAUACAGCCCUUGACAGAGCCACUGUAAAUAUUAAAAUUUCAAGUUGUGUCUUUUACAGGAACGUCAAGAUUUUAUUCAUAUCAUGCUAUUAUGAAAAGUUAUUUUCUGGCACCUAUACAUGUAUUUUU